RNAcentral lists this transfer RNA (85 nucleotides) under Felis catus (domestic cat). It matches the Rfam family "tRNA". From Rfam's summary of the family: Transfer RNA (tRNA) molecules are approximately 80 nucleotides in length. Their secondary structure includes four short double-helical elements and three loops (D, anti-codon, and T loops). The record is from Rfam by way of RNAcentral. Lineage: Eukaryota; Metazoa; Chordata; Mammalia; Carnivora; Felidae.
GCCUGGCUGGCUCAGUCGGUUGAGCGUCCGACUUCGGCUCAGGUCAUGAUCUCACAGUUUGUGGGUUCGAGCCCCACAUUGGGCU